Unclassified non-coding RNA from Pongo abelii (Sumatran orangutan), 148 nucleotides. It matches the Rfam family "Metazoan signal recognition particle RNA". Rfam says of the family: The signal recognition particle (SRP) is a universally conserved ribonucleoprotein. NCBI's taxonomy places the organism in Eukaryota, Metazoa, Chordata, Mammalia, Primates, Hominidae. The record is from Ensembl.
GCUGGGCGUGGUGGUGCGUGCCUGUAAUCCCAGCUACUCAGGAGGCUGAGGCAGGAGAAUCGCUUGAACUCAGGAGGUGGAGGUUGCAGUGAGCUGAGAUGGUGCCAUUGCACUCCAGCCUGGGUGACAGAGUGAGACUCUGUCUCAA